GAAAUGCGAUAAGUAAUGUGAAUUGCAGAAUUCAGUGAAUCAUCGAAUCUUUGAACGCACCUUGCGCUCCUUGGUAUUCCUUGGAGCAUGCCUGUUUGAGUAUCAUGAAAUCUUCAAAGUAAAUCUUUUGUUAACUCAAUUGGUUUCUACUUUGGUAUUGGAGGUCUUUGCAGCUUCACACCUGCUCCUCUUUGUUCAUUAGCUGGAUCUCAGUGUUAUGCUUGGUUCCACUCGGCGUGAUAAGUUAUCUAUCGCUGAGGACACUGUAAAAGGUGGCCAAGGUAAAUGCAGAUGAACCGCUUCUAAUAGUCCAUUGACUUGGACAAUACUUUUAUGAUCUGAUCUCACAUCAGGUAGUACUACCCGCUGAACUUAAGC
RNAcentral lists this unclassified non-coding RNA (378 nucleotides) under plant metagenome. Its description in RNAcentral is "partial contains 5.8S ribosomal RNA, internal transcribed spacer 2, and large subunit ribosomal RNA". The stretch from base 1 to 105 matches the Rfam family "5.8S ribosomal RNA", at positions 50 to 154 of the family's 154-position model. The record is from RNAcentral.